This 301-nucleotide ribosomal RNA is filed under the name uncultured bacterium. RNAcentral's name for it is "partial 16S ribosomal RNA". It matches the Rfam family "Bacterial small subunit ribosomal RNA", at positions 509 to 808 of the family's 1533-position model. The record is from RNAcentral.
CAGUCGCCGCGGUAAUACGGAGGGAGCUAGCGUUGUUCGGAAUUACUGGGCGUAAAGCGCACGUAGGCGGCUAUUCAAGUCAGGGGUGAAAGCCCGGGGCUCAACCCCGGAACUGCUUUUGAAACUAGAUAGCUUGAAUCUUGGAGAGGCGAGUGGAAUUCCGAGUGUAGAGGUGAAAUUCGUAGAUAUUCGGAAGAACACCAGUGGCGAAGGCGACUCGCUGGACAAGUAUUGACGCUGAGGUGCGAAGCGUGGGGGGCAAACAGGAUUAGAUACCCCCGUAGUCCCUGUCUCUUAUACA